This 494-nucleotide ribosomal RNA is filed under the name uncultured bacterium. Its description in RNAcentral is "partial 16S ribosomal RNA". It matches the Rfam family "Bacterial small subunit ribosomal RNA", at positions 28 to 506 of the family's 1533-position model. The record is from RNAcentral.
GACGAACGCUGGCGGCGUGCCUAAUACAUGCAAGUCGAACGCUGAAGGAGGAGCUUGCUUCUCUGGAUGAGUUGCGAACGGGUGAGUAACGCGUAGGUAACCUGCCUGGUAGCGGGGGAUAACUAUUGGAAACGAUAGCUAAUACCGCAUAAGAGUAGAUGUUGCAUGACAUUUGCUUAAAAGGUGCAAUUGCAUCACUACCAGAUGGACCUGCGUUGUAUUAGCUAGUUGGUGAGGUAACGGCUCACCAAGGCAACGAUACAUAGCCGACCUGAGAGGGUGAUCGGCCACACUGGGACUGAGACACGGCCCAGACUCCUACGGGAGGCAGCAGUAGGGAAUCUUCGGCAAUGGACGGAAGUCUGACCGAGCAACGCCGCGUGAGUGAAGAAGGUUUUCGGAUCGUAAAGCUCUGUUGUAAGAGAAGAACGUGUGUGAGAGUGGAAAGUUCACACUGUGACGGUAUCUUACCAGAAAGGGACGGCUAACUACGU